UCAAGAUGCAGAUGGAUGUUAUUAGGAAGGUUUUUACUUCGAAUAUGCACGGCUUGUCCACAUGGCUGAGAUUAGUGCCCAAUACUCAUAUAAUGCUUUUCAUCCUCAAAAGGACUUUACAAGCUCCAGCCCUCAAAACGCCCCCACAAGACUAUUUUCUUUUUUUUUCACUGAGUGAAUGUUUGCAUAGUUAUGUCAGUUGAAUGAAGGACUGCAGCAUCUCAGGAAAGAUGUUACUGGAUGGUUUCUUCCUGGAAGAAAAGAUCGAACACAAACGGAUGGAGUCUGGUAUCACUAAUUUGAGAAGCUGGGCCAGAUGUUGACAUGAGAUCUGGAGCACAUCUUCCCAGUGGGGGUACCAGGACAGAAGACCUCCCAUCAUCACUUUUACCCUUGAGGGAUGAGGGGCAGACCUGUACCACGGUCACAAGCACAGAGAAAGUUUGUGUAGACGUUCCUGAGCUUGAGAAACACACGCUUGACCUUCAAGAGUUGCUGCUGAUUUGUUCAGUGUUCACACUGUGUAGCACAGGCCUCCUGCUAUGCCUCCUGGGCGCUGCUGCAGUACAGCCACCUUGCCCUUUGUUUGGGCACCUUUAUCAGUACAGCUGAAGGGAACACUGUGUGGACUGUGAAUUCCUCUCCAGGAUCAUGUGAAUACUUGGACGGUAUGUGCUGUUGCUCCUAGUAUUAAUCUGACUAGCUAAAGCUGGUUUGCAUACGUCUGCAGCUACAGUAGAAGAUUAAUGGUAAAUAUUCCCAAAUGUAGCUAUGCAAAUAGCGGCAACAAAUUCUGAAUAAAUGCAUGAAAUGCAUUAUAGUAGUCAAAAAUUCUUCUGUUU
Hirundo rustica (Barn swallow) is the source of this 842-nucleotide long non-coding RNA. RefSeq lists it as uncharacterized. The record is from RefSeq and is a predicted model, not a curated record. NCBI's taxonomy places the organism in Eukaryota, Metazoa, Chordata, Aves, Passeriformes, Hirundinidae. The transcript has 4 exons.